Molecule: ribosomal RNA, 554 nt
Filed under: uncultured bacterium
Lineage: Bacteria
Description: bacterial SSU rRNA
Rfam family: Bacterial small subunit ribosomal RNA
Source: RNAcentral
ACGGUACCUACAGAAGAAGCACCGGCCAACUACGUGCCAGCAGCCGCGGUAAUACGUAGGGUGCGAGCGUUGUCCGGAAUUAUUGGGCGUAAAGGGCUCGUAGGCGGUUUGUCACGUCGGGAGUGAAAUCUCAGGGCUUAACCCUGAGCCUGCUUCCGAUACGGGCAGACUAGAGGUAUGCAGGGGAGAACGGAAUUCCUGGUGUAGCGGUGAAAUGCGCAGAUAUCAGGAGGAACACCGGUGGCGAAGGCGGUUCUCUGGGCAUUACCUGACGCUGAGGAGCGAAAGUGUGGGGAGCGAACAGGAUUAGAUACCCUGGUAGUCCACGCCGUAAACGGUGGGCGCUAGGUGUGGGACUCAUUCCACGAGUUCCGUGCCGCAGCUAAUGCAUUAAGCGCCCCGCCUGGGGAGUACGGCCGCAAGGCUAAAACUCAAAGGAAUUGACGGGGGCCCGCACAAGCGGCGGAGCAUGCGGAUUAAUUCGAUGCAACGCGAAGAACCUUACCUAGGUUUGACAUAUACCGGAAAGCUCUAGAGAUAGAGCCCCUUUUGUC